GGGCGGGUAGCUCAGUGGGAGAGCAUCGGCCUUACAAGCCGGGGGUCACAGGUUCAAAUCCUGUUCCGCCUACCA
Molecule: transfer RNA, 75 nt
Filed under: Deltaproteobacteria bacterium
Lineage: Bacteria; Pseudomonadati; Myxococcota; Myxococcia
Also listed under: 4 other names
Description: tRNA-Val
Rfam family: tRNA
About the family: Transfer RNA (tRNA) molecules are approximately 80 nucleotides in length. Their secondary structure includes four short double-helical elements and three loops (D, anti-codon, and T loops).
Source: RNAcentral